CGAAAUAGUAUAGCUGGCAAAGAAAGAAAGAAAGACAGUAUAGCACAUUAGCACUAGUCGUGAAAAUUGUUUUCAACAAUGUUCAACAAAUAAAAUAUGCUUGUCUAUGCAAAAUAACAUUAGUUGGCAACCGUCCGUAGCGUAAUUACUGCACCUGCUGUCUCUGUCAUAUCUACAUGCAUACUCGACGAGAUAAAAUGAUAGAUAUAACACUGUCACUGUUGAAUUUCGAGGUAUCCAAGCUUUCGAACGUACAAAACAAUAUGAUGUUAAUGACCUGAACAUGUAUUACCUUGAAGAAGAUAAAACGUAUUAUACCUUGACUCAUCUUCUCUUAUUCUUUACUUUAAUAUUUCGAACUUUGAAUUAUGUUACGUAACUAUAGGUAAUAGUUUAUUUAAGAUAAAUAAAUUAGAAAGAAUUAAAAAUAGAAAAGAACUAUUACAACGUAGUUCGAUGGUAUUAAAAAUCGGCAAAGAUCGGUAAACAUCGAUAAGAAUCGACAAUGACCAAAGAUUUCGACAUUAAGUAUUCUUUCUUCCUUUUUUUUUCUUUUUCCUUUCUUUUUUCUUUUAUUUUGUUGGUCUACGCAAGACCGUAAUAUAUUCUUUCAAAGAAACGCGUACGCUCUCGCGCGAUGGCGCAAAUCGGUUGGCAUCACCUUCGAAUCUUCUUUAGAAUGCAAAUCAGUCGAAGGUGAACGUACGAGGACGGCUUCUUUUCAGGCCCCUGUUCUUACGGUUAGUCCGGUAAGUGCCACGAAAAUAAACGGAACGAUGAUAAUUGAUCGGAGCUACUUUGUAUUCAUAGGGGAAUAUCGUAACUCGUCGUCGUCGUCGUAGUCGUCGUCGUAGUCGUCGUCGUGGUGAAACGAGACAUUGUAUAGGAUUCCACAUGAAAUCGUGUCCCGGACGUUUGUCUAUAAACAGCUUACCACCGAUAGAUCCACCUAGAAAAGUUACAGGAUAUUGUACGAAAGUAUAAUUCAACGUUCGAAAAUGGAAAAGAAAAAGAUCGUAGAACAACUCCUUGGACUAUCUCCAGCAAUAGCUAGCAUUCCUAACGUUUGACGCUGCUUCUAAUAGUAAAACAUAGUGUACCUGGCAGAGUUUAAGAUAGACUACGCCGGAAUAACAAUAUAAUGCGAAUCUAGCACGCAAAACGAGUGACAUCGAUGAGUACACACGCUUCUCUUUCCACAAGCACUUUAUCUUUUUUUAAUCAGUAAUCACUAUUCAUGUCAACUGUAGUCACGAUACUCGUAAUGGUCACAGAGAGUAACGAGCUCGUGUUAAUUACUUUACUACAAAUGAAUGAAAAUCAAGCUCGCAUAAAAAACAAAUUGACAACAUGGUAAAAAAAAAUACAAUAAAAUAAAUUCACACAUUUGUUAAGUUCCGUUUUGCUGAAUAAAAUAGAUCGUUGGUUUAAGCUCGA
Long non-coding RNA from Polistes dominula (European paper wasp), 1437 nucleotides. RefSeq lists it as uncharacterized. NCBI's taxonomy places the organism in Eukaryota, Metazoa, Arthropoda, Insecta, Hymenoptera, Vespidae. The record is from RefSeq and is a predicted model, not a curated record.